UACGUAGGAUGCAAGCGUUAUCCGGAUUUAUUGGGUUUAAAGGGUGCGUAGGCGGGUUCUUAAGCGUGAGGUGAAAUGCUCCGGCUCAACCGGAGAACUGCCUCGCGAACUGGGAGUCUUGAAUGCUCCUGCCGUGGGAGGAAUGUGUGGUGUUGCGGUGAAACGCAUAGAGAUCACACAGAACACCGAUUGCGAAGGCAUCUCACGAAGGGGUGAUUGACGCUGAGGCACGAAAGCGUGGGGAUCAAAC
RNAcentral lists this ribosomal RNA (250 nucleotides) under uncultured prokaryote. Its description in RNAcentral is "partial 16S ribosomal RNA". It matches the Rfam family "Bacterial small subunit ribosomal RNA", at positions 524 to 773 of the family's 1533-position model. The record is from RNAcentral.